RNAcentral lists this long non-coding RNA (582 nucleotides) under Mytilus galloprovincialis (Mediterranean mussel). The record is from RNAcentral. Lineage: Eukaryota; Metazoa; Mollusca; Bivalvia; Mytilida; Mytilidae.
GAUUUUCAAGGAAAAAGUAUGAGAGUCUCAAAUUUCUUUCCGUUUUUUUUUUAAAUCUUUCAUUAUUUGUUUUAUGGAUGUUUUUGUUGUUGGAACAAAGUUUAGUCCUUUAGCAAGAACUAGUGUUUCUGGUUGUGAUAAUGUUUUAGAGGAUAGGUUCAGCACAAAUUGUUUUGCAAUUUUAAGCUUGAUUUCUUUUUUAUGUAAUUUUAUUUUAUUUUUAACGGCUUUGAAUUUUUCAAUGUUUUUAUAUUUUUUUUUCUUGUUUUUAUUAAGUCUUCUAUGUUUUCCCAUGCUUUUCUUUUUGCAUUGGUAAUAAUUUUGUUUUGUAGUAUUUCAUAUACUUAAAUAUGAUUCUGUAUCACUAUUCUCAUUGGAUGUUUUCAAUUGUGUAAUGACCACAAGGGGUUUGUCCUUCUUCAUUACUGUUUGGUCAGUAUCUAUAAUUGCUAUCUAGAUCAAUCGUGGAUACGCAGUAGGCAAUAAAUAAACAAACCUAGGGAUAAAAUAUUCCCAGGUUUGUUGAUUUUCUGUCAUUAAUUUGCAACAUAUCAACAAUCUAAGUAAAAGCAAAAGUAGAGU